This is a non-coding RNA of Macaca mulatta (Rhesus monkey), 874 nucleotides long. NCBI's taxonomy places the organism in Eukaryota, Metazoa, Chordata, Mammalia, Primates, Cercopithecidae. The record is from RefSeq and is a predicted model, not a curated record.
GGAGAUUCAGGACUCCUUCAGAACGAUUCUACAGAGAGAGAAAAAAAAAAUGUGGCCAGAGACUUGAGCAGGAUGUGUGAAGGGAUUUAAUAAUGGGACUUGUGUAAACAGUAGACUUCAGGGACCAGACUGGCGGCUUGAAGAAAGCUAUUUUCUCGUACCAAAUACAUUCCAUUUCCUAAAGACAGGGUCUCCAUCUGUUACCCAAGCUGAAGAGCAAUGGGAUGAUCAUAACUCACUGCAGCCUCAGACUCCUGGGCUCAAGUGAUCCUCCCACCUCACCCUCCCAAGUAGCUGGACCUAUAGACAUGCACUGUCAUGCCUGGGCCCCAGGUACUGAAGAUAAGAAAAGAAUAUAGAGAAGUUUUUCUUCUGACAGAUUUGCUGGAAGCCAGGUUGCUAUCGCUAGUAACAAUCCAGGAAGCUAACGGAUAACUUCUGUAACAACUGGCCCCACACGGCCAGGACUUGAUUAAUAACUGACAUCUACCCUAAUUUUUGUGCCUACAUCCAAUUUAAGACCAAACAGAGAAAGCGAAACAUGCACCCCUAACCGAUCAUGCAGUAUGCCCCUACUUCUGUUUAGCCCGCUUACAGCUUCUCCAUGGCAACAGCCUCCAAUCAGGAUACACCUGAACCCUUCCGUCCCCACCCACCACCCCACUAUAAAGUGUUCUCAUUUCUCUGCCUUUGAAUCACUGCCAAAACACAGCGACAGUAGUUGACUCCCUUGCAGUAUAGCAGGCUGUGAAAAAAUAGCAUUUGCUUUUCUCAUUUGAUUGGUCAUUUAUUUCUAUAACCAUGUGUUUCAUUCAUGCAAUUCAGAAGUUUCUUUGGAAUAACUUGUACAGUAAACUAAACAAUAUUUAUUUGC